Molecule: long non-coding RNA, 606 nt
Filed under: Gopherus agassizii (Agassiz's desert tortoise)
Lineage: Eukaryota; Metazoa; Chordata; Testudines; Testudinidae
Description: lncRNA (ENSGAGG00000011050.1)
Source: RNAcentral
AGGAGCGCUGAAGGACCUGAAAAUAAAUGGGGCACACUAUCGACAGAAUCAAAUCCCAAAGCGAGGAUUUGCAGGGACUAGCUCGACAAUGCACUGGAGUCAUCAAGUGGGCACAUUUGGGAGAAAAGCUACUGCUACAAAUCUGUCAGAAGACGACUCGUUCAUGCUUUAUUAAAAAGUGGCUGACAAAGUUCCAAAGGAGAAGAUUCAUCAUACUCAGAAGCUCCAUAAAGAAAGCUGGAUCCCAUCUACGAUCCCAUACAUUUUAUGAGAUCAACACUGAAGAGGUUAUAGUCAAGCAGUUAAGGUCAACUUUGUUCUCUUCUUCAGCUGAAAACUUUUUCCUCAAAAGAAAAAAAAAGAGGAGAGAUAAUAGACUUGGGUAAUAUGGAAGUCACAAAAGAGUUGACAGUCAUGACAAGAAGGAUGAAUAUGAAACUUGUGCUCAAGAGGAAGAGAACAUUGGUGGAGAUUCAGCUGAGAAUGCUCCUUUAAUUAGUUGGAACUUUGGGAUAUCAAUUUUGGAUACAAUGAGCUGAAAAAGUCUAACCUAUUGCUGAAGAUAAGACAGGUAGAAAGCGAGGAAAGAUCAGAGAAAGUGAAAGA